GGGUUGUGAGGUUAAGCGACUAAGCGUACACGGUGGAUGCCCUGGCAGUCAGAGGCGAUGAAGGACGUGCUAAUCUGCGAAAAGCGUCGGUAAGGUGAUAUGAACCGUUAUAACCGGCGAUGUCCGAAUGGGGAAACCCAGUGCAAUUCGUUGCACUAUCGUUAACUGAAUACAUAGGUUAACGAGGCGAACCGGGGGAACUGAAACAUCUAAGUACCCCGAGGAAAAGAAAUCAACCGAGAUUCCCCCAGUAGCGGCGAGCGAACGGGGAGCAGCCCAGAGUCUGAAUCAGCUUGUGUGUUAGUGGAACGGUCUGGAAAGUCCGACGGUACAGGGUGAUAGUCCCGUACACCAAAAUGCACAGGUUGUGAACUCGAAGAGUAGGGCGGGACACGUGGUAUCCUGUCUGAAUAUGGGGGGACCAUCCUCCAAGGCUAAAUACUCCUGACUGACCGAUAGUGAACCAGUACCGUGAGGGAAAGGCGAAAAGAACCCCGGCGAGGGGAGUGAAAAAGAACCUGAAACCGUGUACGUACAAGCAGUGGGAGCACCUUCGGGUGUGACUGCGUACCUUUUGUAUAAUGGGUCAGCGACUUAUAUUCUGUAGCAAGGUUAACCGUAUAGGGGAGCCGCAGGGAAACCGAGUCUUAACUGGGCGUUAAGUUGCAGGGUAUAGACCCGAAACCCGGUGAUCUAGCCAUGGGCAGGUUGAAGGUUGGGUAACACUAACUGGAGGACCGAACCGACUAAUGUUGAAAAAUUAGCGGAUGACUUGUGGCUGGGGGUGAAAGGCCAAUCAAACCGGGAGAUAGCUGGUUCUCCCCGAAAGCUAUUUAGGUAGCGCCUCGUGAACUCAUCUUCGGGGGUAGAGCACUGUUUCGGCUAGGGGGUCAUCCCGACUUACCAACCCGAUGCAAACUACGAAUACCGAAGAAUGUUAUCACGGGAGACACACGGCGGGUGCUAACGUCCGUCGUGAAGAGGGAAACAACCCAGACCGCCAGCUAAGGUCCCAAAGUCAUGGUUAAGUGGGAAACGAUGUGGGAAGGCACAGACAGCCAGGAUGUUGGCUUAGAAGCAGCCAUCAUUUAAAGAAAGCGUAAUAGCUCACUGGUCGAGUCGGCCUGCGCGGAAGAUGUAACGGGGCUAAACCAUGCACCGAAGCUGCGGCAGCGACACUAUGUGUUGUUGGGUAGGGGAGCGUUCUGUAAGCCUGCGAAGGUGUGCUGUGAGGCAUGCUGGAGGUAUCAGAAGUGCGAAUGCUGACAUAAGUAACGAUAAAGCGGGUGAAAAGCCCGCUCGCCGGAAGACCAAGGGUUCCUGUCCAACGUUAAUCGGGGCAGGGUGAGUCGACCCCUAAGGCGAGGCCGAAAGGCGUAGUCGAUGGGAAACAGGUUAAUAUUCCUGUACUUGGUGUUACUGCGAAGGGGGGACGGAGAAGGCUAUGUUAGCCGGGCGACGGUUGUCCCGGUUUAAGCAUGUAGGCUGAUUGUCCAGGCAAAUCCGGAUAAUCAAGGCUGAGGUGUGAUGACGAGGCACUACGGUGCUGAAGUAACAAAUGCCCUGCUUCCAGGAAAAGCCUCUAAGCAUCAGGUAACAUUAAAUCGUACCCCAAACCGACACAGGUGGUCAGGUAGAGAAUACCAAGGCGCUUGAGAGAACUCGGGUGAAGGAACUAGGCAAAAUGGUGCCGUAACUUCGGGAGAAGGCACGCUGGUGUGUAGGUGAAGUCCCUGCGGAUGGAGCUGAGACCAGUCGAAGAUACCAGCUGGCUGCAACUGUUUAUUAAAAACACAGCACUGUGCAAACACGAAAGUGGACGUAUACGGUGUGACGCCUGCCCGGUGCCGGAAGGUUAAUUGAUGGGGUUAUCCGUAAGGAGAAGCUCUUGAUCGAAGCCCCGGUAAACGGCGGCCGUAACUAUAACGGUCCUAAGGUAGCGAAAUUCCUUGUCGGGUAAGUUCCGACCUGCACGAAUGGCGUAAUGAUGGCCCAGGCUGUCUCCACCCGAGACUCAGUGAAAUUGAACUCGCUGUGAAGAUGCAGUGUACCCGCGGCAAGACGGAAAGACCCCGUGAACCUUUACUAUAGCUUGACACUGAACAUUGAGCCUUGAUGUGUAGGAUAGGUGGGAGGCUUUGAAGCGUGGACGCCAGUCUGCGUGGAGCCAACCUUGAAAUACCACCCUUUAAUGUUUGAUGUUCUAACGUUGGCCCCUGACCGGGGUUGCGGACAGUGUCUGGUGGGUAGUUUGACUGGGGCGGUCUCCUCCCAAAGCGUAACGGAGGAGCACGAAGGUUAGCUAAUCCUGGUCGGACAUCAGGAGGUUAGUGCAAUGGCAUAAGCUAGCUUGACUGCGAGCGUGACGGCGCGAGCAGGUGCGAAAGCAGGUCAUAGUGAUCCGGUGGUUCUGAAUGGAAGGGCCAUCGCUCAACGGAUAAAAGGUACUCCGGGGAUAACAGGCUGAUACCGCCCAAGAGUUCAUAUCGACGGCGGUGUUUGGCACCUCGAUGUCGGCUCAUCACAUCCUGGGGCUGAAGUAGGUCCCAAGGGUAUGGCUGUUCGCCAUUUAAAGUGGUACGCGAGCUGGGUUUAGAACGUCGUGAGACAGUUCGGUCCCUAUCUGCCGUGGGCGCUGGAGAAUUGAGGGGGGGGCUGCUCCUAGUACGAGAGGACCGGAGUGGACGCAUCACUGGUGUUCGGGUUGUCAUGCCAAUGGCACUGCCCGGUAGCUAAAUGCGGAAGAGAUAAGUGCUGAAAGCAUCUAAGCACGAAACUUGCCCCGAGAUGAGUUCUCCCUGAGACUUUAAGUCUCCUGAAGGAACGUUGAAGACGACGACGUUGAUAGGCCGGGUGUGUAAGCGCAGCGAUGCGUUGAGCUAACCGGUACUAAUGAACCGUGAGGCUUAACCUUACAACGCCGAAG
Molecule: ribosomal RNA, 2926 nt
Filed under: Klebsiella pneumoniae
Lineage: Bacteria; Pseudomonadati; Pseudomonadota; Gammaproteobacteria; Enterobacterales; Enterobacteriaceae
Description: 23S ribosomal RNA
Rfam family: Bacterial large subunit ribosomal RNA
Source: RNAcentral